UACAGAGGGGGCAAGCGUUGUUCGGAAUUACUGGGCGUAAAGGGCGCGUAGGCGGCCUGUUAAGUCGAACGUGAAAUCCCCGGGCUCAACCCGGGAACUGCGUCCGAUACUGGCAGGCUUGAAUCCGGGAGAGGGAUGCGGAAUUCCAGGUGUAGCGGUGAAAUGCGUAGAUAUCUGGAGGAACACCGGUGGCGAAGGCGCAUCCUGGACCGGCAUUGACGCUGAGGCGCGAAAGCCAGGGGGAGCAAACGGG
This 253-nucleotide ribosomal RNA is filed under the name uncultured bacterium. RNAcentral's name for it is "partial 16S ribosomal RNA". It matches the Rfam family "Bacterial small subunit ribosomal RNA", at positions 524 to 776 of the family's 1533-position model. The record is from RNAcentral.